GACAUAAGUGUCAAAAGUCAAAAUGCGUUCCUGCUUGCAGGAAAAGCAUGUUGACCUUAUGACACGCUGAAACAUGAGGAAAUAGCAUUUUCUUAGAAAAAUAGCGGUUUCCGAAUGUUUCUAGGAUUGCGAGAAUUUCGUAAGAAAUGGAGCAAUCCGUAU
RNAcentral lists this small RNA (162 nucleotides) under uncultured Eubacterium sp. RNAcentral's name for it is "Clostridiales-1 RNA". It matches the Rfam family "Clostridiales-1 RNA". The record is from RNAcentral. Lineage: Bacteria; Bacillati; Bacillota; Clostridia; Eubacteriales; Eubacteriaceae.